This 484-nucleotide ribosomal RNA is filed under the name uncultured bacterium. Its description in RNAcentral is "partial 16S ribosomal RNA". It matches the Rfam family "Bacterial small subunit ribosomal RNA", at positions 30 to 507 of the family's 1533-position model. The record is from RNAcentral.
AUUGAACGCUGGCGGCAGGCCUAACACAUGCAAGUCGAGCGGAUGAAGGGAGCUUGCUCCUGGAUUCAGCGGCGGACGGGUGAGUAAUGCCUAGGAAUCUGCCUGGUAGUGGGGGAUAACGUCCGGAAACGGGCGCUAAUACCGCAUACGGCCUGAGGGAGAAAGUGGGGGAUCUUCGGACCUCACGCUAUCAGAUGAGCCUAGGUCGGAUUAGCUAGUUGGUGGGGUAAAGGCCUACCAAGGCGACGAUCCGUAACUGGUCUGAGAGGAUGAUCAGUCACACUGGAACUGAGACACGGUCCAGACUCCUGCGGGAGGCAGCAGUGGGGAAUAUUGGACAAUGGGCGAAAGCCUGAUCCAGCCAUGCCGCGUGUGUGAAGAAGGUCUUCGGAUUGUAAAGCACUUUAAGUUGGGAGGAAGGGCAGUAAGUUAAUACCUUGCUGUUUUGACGUUGCCAACAGAAUAAGCACCGGCUAACUUCGUG